GGUGGCGCCGUAGGCAACACACCAUAAAAGGAGGAAGUCCAUCCACACAAAAACUGCACCACAGUGAUGUGGCUCGCUAAAUGCGUGGGCAACCGAACAGAAACGGACCCUUGCAGCCAUGAUGGAAUGAAGGUUUCAGACGUCGGCUGCUUUUGGGAUGAAACGGCGGACCUGCAGGUGCAAACCCGAAAGGGCGCUUAGUCGAAUGUUGCCAUACGUUAUGAUGAUUCCAGCAAGGGAGGAAACGUCACAGAAGAUGGGCUAUUCGGCGCCACC
This 276-nucleotide RNase P RNA is filed under the name Nanobdellota archaeon. Its description in RNAcentral is "RNase P RNA component". It matches the Rfam family "Archaeal RNase P". Rfam says of the family: Ribonuclease P (RNase P) is a ubiquitous endoribonuclease, found in archaea, bacteria and eukarya as well as chloroplasts and mitochondria. Lineage: Archaea; Nanobdellati; Nanobdellota. The record is from RNAcentral.